UACAGAGGGUGCAAGCGUUAAUCGGAAUUACUGGGCGUAAAGCGUGCGUAGACGGUUACAUAAGUCGGAUGUGAAAGCCCCGGGCUCAACCUGGGAAUUGCAUUCGAGACUGUGUAGCUAGGAUGCGGAAGAGGGAAGCGGAAUUUCCGGUGUAGCGGUGAAAUGCGUAGAUAUCGGAAGGAACACCAGUGGCGAAAGCGGCUCCCUGGUCCAGCAUCGACGUUCAGGCACGAAAGCGUGGGGAGCAAACAGG
This 253-nucleotide ribosomal RNA is filed under the name uncultured bacterium. RNAcentral describes it as "partial 16S ribosomal RNA". It matches the Rfam family "Bacterial small subunit ribosomal RNA", at positions 524 to 776 of the family's 1533-position model. The record is from RNAcentral.